Molecule: ribosomal RNA, 424 nt
Filed under: Escherichia coli IS9
Lineage: Bacteria; Pseudomonadati; Pseudomonadota; Gammaproteobacteria; Enterobacterales; Enterobacteriaceae
Description: LSU rRNA
Rfam family: Bacterial large subunit ribosomal RNA
Source: RNAcentral
CUAACGUCCGUCGUGAAGAGGGAAACAACCCAGACCGCCAGCUAAGGUCCCAAAGUCAUGGUUAAGUGGGAAACGAUGUGGGAAGGCCCAGACAGCAGGAUGUUGGCUUAGAAGCAGCCAUCAUUUAAAGAAAGCGUAAUAGCUCACUGGUCGAGUCGGCCUGCGCGGAAGAUGUAACGGGGCUAAACCAUGCACCGAAGCUGCGGCAGCGACGCUGAUGCGUUGUUGGGUAGGGGAGCGUUCUGUAAGCCUGCGAAGGUGUGCUGUGAGGCAUGCUGGAGGUAUCAGAAGUGCGAAUGCUGACAUAAGUAACGAUAAAGCGGGUGAAAAGCCCGCUCGCCGGAAGACCAAGGGUUCCUGUCCAACGUUAAUCGGGGCAGGGUGAGUCGACCCCUAAGGCGAGGCCGAAAGGCGUAGUCGAUGG